This 492-nucleotide ribosomal RNA is filed under the name uncultured bacterium. RNAcentral describes it as "partial 16S ribosomal RNA". It matches the Rfam family "Bacterial small subunit ribosomal RNA", at positions 29 to 507 of the family's 1533-position model. The record is from RNAcentral.
AGUGAACGCUGGCGGUAGGCCUAACACAUGCAGGUCGAACGGCAGCACAGUAGGAGCUUGCUCUUACGGGUGGCGAGUGGCGGACGGGUGAGGAAUACAUCGGAAUCUACUUUUUCGUGGGGGAUAACGUAGGGAAACUUACGCUAAUACCGCAUACGACCUACGGGUGAAAGCAGGGGAUCUUCGGACCUUGCGCGAUUGAAUGAGCCGAUGUCGGAUUAGCUAGUUGGCGGGGUAAAGGCCCACCAAGGCGACGAUCCGUAGCUGGUCUGAGAGGAUGAUCAGCCACACUGGAACUGAGACACGGUCCAGACUCCUACGGGAGGCAGCAGUGGGGAAUAUUGGACAAUGGGCGCAAGCCUGAUCCAGCCAUACCGCGUGGGUGAAGAAGGCCUUCGGGUUGUAAAGCCCUUUUGUUGGGAAAGAAAAGCAGCAGGUUAAUACCCCGCUGUUCUGACGGUACCCAAAGAAUAGGCACCGGCUAACUUCGUG